RNAcentral lists this ribosomal RNA (732 nucleotides) under uncultured Lachnospiraceae bacterium. Its description in RNAcentral is "bacterial SSU rRNA". It matches the Rfam family "Bacterial small subunit ribosomal RNA", at positions 28 to 757 of the family's 1533-position model. Lineage: Bacteria; Bacillati; Bacillota; Clostridia; Lachnospirales; Lachnospiraceae. The record is from RNAcentral.
GACGAACGCUGGCGGCGCGCCUAACACAUGCAAGUCGAACGAAGCUGUUUUCUCUGAAGUUUUCGGAUGGAAGAGAGUUCAGCUUAGUGGCGAACGGGUGAGUAACACGUGAGCAACCUGCCUUUCAGUGGGGGACAACAUUUGGAAACGAAUGCUAAUACCGCAUAAGACCACAGUGUCGCAUGGCACAGGGGUCAAAGGAUUUAUCCGCUGAAAGAUGGGCUCGCGUCCGAUUAGCUAGAUGGUGAGGUAACGGCCCACCAUGGCGACGAUCGGUAGCCGGACUGAGAGGUUGAACGGCCACAUUGGGACUGAGACACGGCCCAGACUCCUACGGGAGGCAGCAGUGGGGAAUAUUGCACAAUGGGGGAAACCCUGAUGCAGCGACGCCGCGUGGAGGAAGAAGGUCUUCGGAUUGUAAACUCCUGUCCCAGGGGACGAUAAUGACGGUACCCUGGGAGGAAGCACCGGCUAACUACGUGCCAGCAGCCGCGGUAAAACGUAGGGUGCAAGCGUUGUCCGGAAUUACUGGGUGUAAAGGGAGCGCAGGCGGAUUGGCAAGUUGGGAGUGAAAUCUAUGGGCUCAACCCAUAAAUUGCUUUCAAAACUGUCAGUCUUGAGUGGUGUAGAGGUAGGCGGAAUUCCCGGUGUAGCGGUGGAAUGCGUAGAUAUCGGGAGGAACACCAGUGGCGAAGGCGGCCUACUGGGCACUAACUGACGCUGAGGCUCGAA